This 280-nucleotide long non-coding RNA is filed under the name Mustela putorius furo (domestic ferret). RNAcentral's name for it is "lncRNA (ENSMPUG00000024261.1)". Lineage: Eukaryota; Metazoa; Chordata; Mammalia; Carnivora; Mustelidae. The record is from RNAcentral.
GGGAUGUGCUCUGCCUGACAGUUGAUACCCAGGUUGUGGGAAGACCGGGGCUAAGAGCAGAAAUGCCCCCAAGAUCCUGUUUUGGACCCGGGCAGCAUCACCUGUGUCCCGUGCAAUUUUGGUAGCUGGCCUCCCGGUUUUCUGCUGCAUUUCGGGGAUUCACAGACUGGCGGGCUCACCACGCAGGCAGAAAUGACUUGUUCGGUCCUCUGGUUUCUUAUGGUGAGUAAAUACGUCUAACUGUUGGAUUUGCUAAUUAUUGUGAUUUUUCGGGGUGAGG